RNAcentral lists this ribosomal RNA (253 nucleotides) under uncultured bacterium. RNAcentral describes it as "partial 16S ribosomal RNA". It matches the Rfam family "Bacterial small subunit ribosomal RNA", at positions 524 to 776 of the family's 1533-position model. The record is from RNAcentral.
UACGAAGGGGGCGAGCGUUGUUCGGAAUUACUGGGCGUAAAGGGCGCGUAGGCGGCCCCUUUUGUCGCGUGUGAAAGCCCCGGGCUCAACUUGGGAGGUGCGCGCGAAACGGGGGGGCUUGAGUUCGGGAGAGGAGCGUGGAAUUCCCAGUGUAGAGGUGAAAUUCGUAGAUAUUGGGAAGAACACCGGUGGCGAAGGCGGCGCUCUGGACCGAGACUGACGCUGAGGCGCGAAAGCGUGGGGAGCAAACAGG